Alligator mississippiensis (American alligator) is the source of this 2558-nucleotide long non-coding RNA. RefSeq lists it as uncharacterized. The transcript is spliced from 3 exons. NCBI's taxonomy places the organism in Eukaryota, Metazoa, Chordata, Crocodylia, Alligatoridae. The record is from RefSeq and is a predicted model, not a curated record.
CCAAUAUGGGUUCUGGGGGGGUGGAUCAAACUAAUGUAGGUUCAGAGGAUGAGAACAGAGAACUGGGCCAAACCACUGGAGAUUGCAAGCCUCCUCGCACAACUGCCAGUGUGCAAAGCAGGGGGCGGAGCUCGGGGGGGACCCAGCUGUGCCCCCUGCCUGGUGACGUCACGAGGAAGUCCCGCCCUGCAGAGAACAGGAAGUCCUGCCCUGAUGCAAAGAGGAGGUGUGCCUGGGAAAGAAUGGGGAAGCCCUGCCUAUAUGCAGAGAGGACCCACAGAGAACAGGAAGUCCCACCCACCCUGCAGAGAACAGAACAUCCCACCCUACCAAGGACAGGAAGUCCCACCAUGCAGAGAACAGGACGUCCCACCCCUUCCCAGCAGAGCACACAUACCCCUGUCACCCCAAGGAGGAAGGAAAUUCUGUCCUGCCGCCACAUGACAAAGACCCCCUUGCCCCAGUCAGCACACAGGAAGUCCCGCCCUCAGCCUUGUUGGAACAGGAAAUCCCACCCUUUCAUGCUCCCAAGAAGUCUGUGCCUCCCUUCCGGCUCCAUCCUGGUCUCCCCAGCUUCAUCUCUUUCCCCCCAGUCCAAGCUUGAGAGCCCCAGGGACACCAUGAAUGGCCACUGCUUGAGAGCCCUGGGGACACCAUGAAUGGCCACCGCAGACCGGGGCAGCCCAUCUCCUUGCCAGCCAAGAGGAACCUAGAAUGCUGGGAGGAAGCCAGAGCAGCCACCACCGAGGUGGCUGGUGCGGCCUCAGGUCCUGCCCCCCACACAACACCACCAGGAGACCUCAUGGGCAGGUCAGGAGCACAACAAUGUCCAGCCCCCGGGGCAGGGCAGCCAGCCCAGCCCAGACAGCCACCGGCAACGUAGAACACCAAGAGAUGAUCUGGGGACACCUAAAACGCUAAGGGUUGCCCUAAAUCACCAAGGGCCACCCAAAAAGCCACAACAUGAUCUAGAACAGCAAGGGCCAUCUAGAACGCUAAGGGGUGACCUGGGUCACCAAGGGCCAUCUAGACUGCCAGAAUGUGAUCUAGAACACAGAGAUGAUCUAGAACACCACAUGUCAUCUGGACCCCACUCUGUGAUCUAGAACACCAAGGGAUAUCAAGAAACUCGCUAAGUGAUCUAAAACACUGUGGGCCAUCUAGAAACCCACUAUGUUAUCUAGAACAGCGUGGGUCACUCCAGAACUGUAAGCAGUGACCUAAAUCACCACAGUCCAUCUAGAAAACCACAAAGUGAUCUAGAAUAGCAACAGCCAUCUAGAAUGCUAAAAGGUGAUCCAGAUCACCAAGAGCUAUCUAGACCACCAAGAGAUGAUCUAGAAUACCACAGGCCAUCUAGAAACCUGCUAUGUGAUCUAGAACAGCAAAAGCUGUCUAGAAACACUGUGAUCUAGAACGCCAAGGGCCAUCUAGACGCUAUGAGGUGACCCAGACCUCCAAGAGUCAUCUAGAAUGCCAGGAGGUGAUCUAACACACCAAGAAAUGCUCUAGAACAUCACAGGCCUUCUAGAAAACCAUGGGCCAUCUAGAAUUCUAAGGGGUGACCUGGAACAUCAAGGGAUAGCUAGAGCACCAGGAGAUGAUCCAGAACACCAAGGAUCACCUAGAACACCAAGGACCACCUAGAGCACCACAUGGUGACCUAGAACACCAGUAUAUGAUCUAGCACACCAAGGGCCAUCUAGAACUCUAAGAAGUGACCGGAACCCCAAGGGCCACCUAGAGUACCACAAGGUGAUCUAGAGCACUGAGAGAACAUCACAGAACCUCUAGAGCACCACAAGGAGAUCUCUAACACCAAGGGCUACUGAGGAUGCCAUGAGGCAACUAGACCAUUAAGAGAUGCUUAGAACACCAAGGGGCAAGCUAGAACACUGAGUGCCACCUAGAAUGCCAUGAGGUGCCUAGGAAGCCAAGAGGCAACUUCAACUGCCACGGCAACCUUGAGAGCACCUUGAGGCUCCUAGAAUACCAAUGGCAACCUAGAUCACCAAGGGCAACCCAGAGUAUCUUGGGGCACCUAGAACACCAAAGACAACCUAGAUUGCAAAGGGCAACCUAGAGCGCAGGUGGCAACUUAGAGCUCCUUGAGGCACCUAGAUCACCAAGGGCAACCUAGAGCACCUUGAGGCACCUAGAACACCAAUGGCACUCUAGGUCACCAAGAGCCACCUAGAACUCCACAAAGCACCUUGGACACAGAAGGGCGACCUAGAAUUCCCCAGGUCCUGGAAUGCUGCCCCAGCUGCUCUGGUGUGGGGCAGGGGGGAAGGGGAAGAAGGAGCAGGUCCCGCGAGGGCUAAAAUCCAUCGUCACAUGGAAGAGAGAGCGAGCGCCGAGCAAGCCCGGGGCCGAGAGGUAUUUCCGGAGGACGAGGUUUGGCACACGGCCAGCUCGGGGGGGGCAACUGCCCCUCUCUCUCUCUCCCUCACCGCCCCCACCACCCAUCUCCACCCUGGACCCCCCCACCCCGCCCCCUUCUCUCCACUCGUCUUUGGUUGCAAGAUUUUUUUUUUUAAUUAAAAAAAUAACGAUCA